This is a long non-coding RNA of Dermochelys coriacea (leatherback sea turtle), 2645 nucleotides long. RefSeq lists it as uncharacterized. The transcript has 2 exons. The record is from RefSeq and is a predicted model, not a curated record. NCBI's taxonomy places the organism in Eukaryota, Metazoa, Chordata, Testudines, Dermochelyidae.
GAAAGCGUUAACCGCAAAAGAACAAACAGUGAAUAACAGGAAAAAGCUUGUUUUGAUGUAUUCCUAAUAAGGAAAAUGUUAAUAAGGAAGUGUGUGUAAUUGAUUUUGGUUUUAAGCUAUAUAAGCUUUUGUAUUCCCUUUCGGGGGGGUCGGCAGCUUGGCUGUCAUUCCCCUGCAUGUUUGUAAUAAAGUGGGCCUCAGUUUAAUUUCCACAACAAUUAAACGGUGCUGUGAUUCGGAUAGACAGCCAACCCCAGAACCAGAGGACUGCGAGCAGAUCCCCGCCAGACCCAGGGCCCAUCUGAAAGAUAAGAGACCUUUUGAAAUCUCUAUUGUGGGUUUCUGGUGGAGGAUUGCCCGUAGGCUCUGGGUUCGGGUGAGUUGCAUGCUGUAUUUGGACUUUUUGCUGCCAGACAUGCCUGAUGCCCUUCUGGUUCUGGUUUCCCCGGGAAGAGCCACUGGGAAUGGCUGGGUAGGUCUAUGGGUUGACCUCUGUUUUGUGUGCCAGUGUGAAUGUUUAAGUGAGAGAAAGGGCCACAGUAAGAUGCCCAGAGCUCUCUGUGAAGCCGUUGGCUUGUGACCAGAGGUGUCUCUAAAGCAAACCCUGUGGCCCCAACUAAUGAGCUAAGAUGAGACCCCUGACCAAGACAGUUUCUCUCUGCAAUGCAUGACCAGAGAGGGUCUGUCUGGGGCUAGGAUUGUAUGACUCCAUCCCCUACCGUCUGUGACAGUCUGGUUCCCCUCCUCCACCAGAAGGUGGUCUGAUGAGCCACUAACUGGUCUUGUAACCUUGCCUGAAGCAACAGAGUAAGUGGCACUGUUCUCUCUGAGAGUAGCUGACGCUCUUUGCUGAAGGGAGGCUGUAAGGAAGUCAUGGACGUCCUAAACACACCUUCCCUGUGUGAGUGCCCUGUGUGAAAGGAAGUCGGGUACUUGGAGGCCAGAGGGUCCAAAAAGGAUCCACGCCUCACCAGGAAGGCUGGAAAAUGGGGGCCAGUGAGUCCAAAGGGGCCACCGUCCCGCCAAAAGGCACACGUGUGUACUACAUGUACACAAAUUACGGUCCUUUUACUUGCAAGUUCCUGAAAAAAUGGAAUUGGUAUACCAGGGAUGAUUCAAAAUUACAGUCUACCCUAGAGGGAAAGUUUUAAUCUUGACAGGAUUGUGCACCUCAGAGGCACACUUCUGGCCAAUGUUUGAUGCAUAUUUCAUAUGGUAUGGAGAAACAGAAAAAACGGUGCUGUGAAUCUCAAAGGAGGAGUCUCAAGGACUCCCAGGAGAAACUUUAAAACACAAUUAAAGGAGACAAAAGAGAAACUGGGUUUUCCAAGCCCCUGCUGCCAUCAGAUAUCUCUCUACCCUUUAAGACCUCUUUGGGGUACCCCCUCAGCUCCAUCUGAAGAUCUAUAAACUUAUAUUUAAACUGCGUAGGGGUGGGCAAUAUUCCUAAUCCCCACCCUGUCUCUUUACCUCUGACCAUUUCUAUCAGUCCUCUGUCUGACCAUCAUGCCUUCCUCCUCAGUCCUUGCUCACCGGUUAACCUUUUGGGAAGAUGCUUGCUAUGUAAAUUAAAAUGUACAUGGAUGCUCCAAGAGGGAGACCGACCCCAGCCUUUCCUCAUUGCAACAGGAACUGCUGGCUAAGGACCUCCCACCUCGUUGUGGGCUGAUCAUGCUGACCAGGUUGGGUACAUUGGAUCCGCCCAACCAGUGAAAGUUUGCCUGAACCCAGCAAGACCCCUUCCCAAGGUGCAGCAGUACCCUCUCUGAAAACAGGCUGAGGAAGGAAUUUGACCAGUAAUCACCUCCUUAAUAUAGCAAAAAGCCAUUAUUCCUACGGUUUCUUUAUAUACAGGUAAAAGAAGCACUAUCCAAGAAUCCUGAGCAUGCCUGCCACUCACUGGGACCAAAAGACUGGGUCUAUAUAAAGGUCCAUCAGUGAAAGACCACCCUGGCCCUGCACUGGAGAGGCCCUUACCAAGUCCUGUUAAUUACCAACACAGCUGUGUGGUGCUGGGGACCGACUGCCAUCCCUCCACCUCAGGAUGAUCCUCCGACUGAUGUUGCUGUUCCUUCUGGACAGCAAGAGAAAAGAACAAGGUGAAGUGCUAGUAACCUCUCCCUUAUACUGACAGAACUACUGUGCAUUUGGACUUUGCUAGAAGAACCAAACAAUUACAGGGUGAUGUGCUGGUAACCUCUACCCUGAAUAAUGCUAAACCACGGCUGUUCAAAGAAAGAAGAAGGAACACUCAUUCUGUUGAAAUCACCAAAGUCCAGGGAUUCCUGACUACAACAGACAUUAAGAAUUGGCCGUGGUGGAAAAGACGAAGUAUUGUUAAGUGGCAGGGAGGGAAUUGUGGGGACCGCACUUGGAAAUGUGGAGUUGAGUGGUGGGGUGGGUUUUUUUCCAGGGGCUGGGCUCUGUGCUUACAAGACAAGUACCAUCAAAAUGCACUGCCAUCCCUAAUUGGCUUCUGGAGGAUAAAUACCAAAAACACCUUGCUGCCACAGACAUUACUCCCACCAUUCCCUCCACCUCUGUCACCACCACUAAAAUUUACCCGAAUACAGAUAAUACUGUAUAUUCUAAUGAAACCCAAUGGCCCAGGCCUUCACAUCUUAGUGAUUUACUAAAAUUUUGUU